RNAcentral lists this unclassified non-coding RNA (228 nucleotides) under plant metagenome. Its description in RNAcentral is "partial contains small subunit ribosomal RNA, internal transcribed spacer 1, and 5.8S ribosomal RNA". The record is from RNAcentral.
UCUCCGUAGGUGAACCUGCGGAGGGAUCAUUACAGAGUUCAUGCCCUACCGGGUAGAUCUCCCACCCUAUGUUAUUAUUACUUUGUUGCUUUGGCGGGCCGUUAGGCUCCGGCCCGACUACCGGCCCCGGCUGGUAAGCGCCCGCCGGAGGACCCAAAACCCUGAAUAUUAGUGUCGUCUGAGUACUAUAUAAUAGUUAAAACUUUCAACAACGGAUCUCUUGGUUCU